Molecule: ribosomal RNA, 253 nt
Filed under: uncultured bacterium
Lineage: Bacteria
Description: partial 16S ribosomal RNA
Rfam family: Bacterial small subunit ribosomal RNA
Source: RNAcentral
UACAGAGGUCCCAAGCGUUGUUCGGAUUCACUGGGCGUAAAGGGUGCGUAGGUGGCAGGGUAAGUUUGAUGUGAAAUCUCCGGGCUUAACCCGGAAACUGCAUUGAAUACUAUCCGGCUAGAGGGUUGGAGGGGAGACUGGAAUACUUGGUGUAGCAGUGAAAUGCGUAGAUAUCAAGUGGAACACCAGUGGCGAAGGCGAGUCUCUGGACAACUCCUGACACUGAGGCACGAAAGCUAGGGGAGCAAACAGG